AGCCACCACCUCAAGUUUGAAAGAAGGAAGCGAAGGACUUCCCAAUUACCAUAAUUGAACAGUCGACUAUCCCAUAACUUGUGGUAACCUCUUUCUCCAGUGUGAAAAUACGAUUCCUGGGAACUUUGGCCAACAUCAAAGCCAUUAAGUCCAUCAGUCACAUUGUUACUUGCAUGACUGUGAACAACAUCCAUUAAGACCCGUAGACCUAAGCUGUGAGCUUUAUCAAUUAAAUAUUUGAGGUCCUCAGGAGUUCCAGAUCUACUGCUUACAGAAAAAAAGUUCGUUACAUGGUAUCCAAAUGACGCAUAGUAGGAAUGCUCCAUUACAGCCAUCAAUUGUACGGUAUUAUAGUUAUUUGCCUGAAUACGGG
RNAcentral lists this long non-coding RNA (373 nucleotides) under Gossypium barbadense (sea-island cotton). RNAcentral describes it as "long non-coding RNA (GBAR_LNC014162)". The record is from RNAcentral. Lineage: Eukaryota; Viridiplantae; Streptophyta; Magnoliopsida; Malvales; Malvaceae.